CCUUGUGCCAUAGUCAGUCACACACUUUUGGUUUUUGAGAAAAACAAAAGAGCACUCUCUUCUCUCUAACCUCUGAUUACUUGGCUAGUAUCGGGUACCGGAGGAGAACAGUUCGGUGUGGACGAGUAGAGACUUUGCUAGGUUGCUCAGCUUGUGAUUGAAACUUCUCUUCCACAACUUGUAAGGUAACAACACUAUCACUGAUUCAUUGCUCUUUCGUAAUGAUCCAAGGAAAGGAAAUCAAUUUUUUUUAUAAAUUCCUCAGCUUCUGGUAUAUCGAUUUCCCUUCAUCAACCCGAAAGGGUAACUAUGGAUGUGAUUAUAGUGUGGGGUCUAGAACACGACACUGGAACCGUCUAGUGAAUCAUUGUUCACUAACUUGGAUUAGAAGAUUCACCAACAGGCAAUUGAAAAUAUGAUAGCAAAAAACUGUUGAUUCUUGGCAGAAGUGGAAAGAGAUUUUUCAACUGUUUUUUUUUUUCCUCUCAAAUGACCUAGAAGUAAAGGACAUGACAAUAUGACAUACUCAGUGUUAGAGAUGCUGAAGUGGGCCUUGAUGUGAAUGAUAAUAAGCCCAAAGUGUGGAGGGUUUAUAGGAGGAAGCGUGGUAAAGAUUUAAUAAAAGAUGCUGAGGUGGCAGCUAUGUGAGGGAUAGAAUCAGAGUUAGUUACUAUAUAUAAGAGGAGUAUUAGGAUUGGUGAGAAUCAUCUCUGAUUUUGCGUAAGAAAAAGAGAAUUAGGGUCACACUUUGUGAUUGGGAAGCCGUAGCGCUUUUUAGGGUUGAUAGCCGUCGCUAUCAGCACAUUCUAUUUUCCUUUGAUUGUAUUCCGUUCUUUUCACAGUAAUACAAAC
RNAcentral lists this long non-coding RNA (852 nucleotides) under Trifolium pratense (red clover). Its description in RNAcentral is "long non-coding RNA (TPRA_LNC000286)". The record is from RNAcentral. Lineage: Eukaryota; Viridiplantae; Streptophyta; Magnoliopsida; Fabales; Fabaceae.